Rhododendron vialii is the source of this 2390-nucleotide long non-coding RNA. RefSeq lists it as uncharacterized. The record is from RefSeq and is a predicted model, not a curated record. The transcript is spliced from 2 exons. NCBI's taxonomy places the organism in Eukaryota, Viridiplantae, Streptophyta, Magnoliopsida, Ericales, Ericaceae.
AGCAGCGGUUAACUCCAUUGCCUCUCACUAUCUCUUUUUCUUUGUGCAUCACCACCAAAUCCCAGUCACUGUACAACAACGCGCGCCAUGUGCGUCGCGUAGCCUCCGGCUUACUACCUGACCGGAGGAUCCAUCGAGCCUCCGGCGUACUACCUGACCGAAGAAUCCAUCGAGCCUCCGGCGUACUACCUGACCAGAGGAUCCAUCGGGAACUUCUUUGAUUGCACUGUGUACCCGUCAAUUUACGCCGCUGCCUUUGCCAACCGAUUUAGCCCCGCCAAUCAUGAUACGGCUCAGUGUUUCUUCAAUUUCAAUUUGUCCAAUUCCUCUAGUUCUAGUAAUAACCAGAGAAAGAUUUUGACUAGGAUAGUUGUGAUACUUUUUGUGGUUUUUCUGUUCCUGGGUUUCGGUGGAUUUUGUGUUUUAUGGAACAAAUUGGAGAAAAAGAAGAGGAAAAUUAUUUGUGGAAGAGACAAGUUUGGUUGUUGAAAUGGAAUUGAUUAACCAGAGUGAGGGAGGUGUGUAGAAAAAUGAGUUCUGGUGAAAGAGGGCGAGGGUGUGGAGAGAGAAAAAAGGGGAUUUUGAUCGUGUAUUUUGCAAUGACUGAGUGUUGUGUGCCAAUGGGGCAAUUAACGGGAGAAAAAUGCCACGUCACCAUGUUUGUUGACAAAUUGGACGGAAAAUAAAGGUAGGUGUCUUAAUUUGGAAAUUUUGGAAGUCUAGGUGUUUAAUUGAUAUAAAGUGAAGUUGAGAUAUUUCUGUGACAUUGAAGCGAAAGUUUAGGUGCCAUUUUGAAAUUUUUUCUUACUUUUAUUUAAUGUGGUUCAUGUGCACGCAUAUACUGUUUUAAAAAAUUAGUCUAGGAUCCAUUAUAGCAUGUUUGUAACAUCUUUAGUCCACUUCUAAAGUUCAUAACCCCUCUAGUCCGCUAAUUAGGUUUGGUAAGGUCUUUAGUCCACUUCUUUUAAAAAAGAAACUAAACCAAGACAAAAAUGCCCUCCUAUAUAAGUUGUUGCAUCUCCCCGACCCUAAUCUUUCACUCCAGAUCUCUCUCUCUCUCUCUCUCUCUCUCUCUCUCUCCACUAGCAACAACUGUCCAGCGAAAAUGAGAGGGUGCAUUUCGAUCCACAUCGGAUAGGCCGGGAUCCAGGUUGGAAACGCCAGUUGGGAUCUCUACUGCCUUGAACACGGCAUUCAACCCGAUGGGCAAAUGCCGAGCGACAAGAUGGUGGCCGGCGGUGACGAUGCGUUCAACACCUUCUUCAGCAAGACCGGCGCCGAGAAGCACGUACCCCGCACCGUCUUCGUCGAUCUGGAGCCCACCGUCAUCGACGAGGUCAGGACCGGGCACUUACUGCUAGCUGUUCCACCCCGAACAACUCAUUAGCGGCAUCCCACCCGACCUGCUCCUGAAAUCUGGCACCCACCGCCGGACCAACCCUGACUGCCAACCCCCAACAACUAGCUCAGAAUGGCGCCGUAGCAGAUCGUGUGGAUCGCAGGCCGGAGCAAUUGCGAGUCCUUCGUCGAAGAGUGCAGUGGAGAGAGCGACGAUGUUUAUAUGUCUAAUAUUAUAUGUAUUCGUUUUUUGUUUUUUGUUUUUUUCCGAUAGGUAUACACAUAAUAUUACAUGUGAUUGUGUUGGCAUAAAACACAUUCCAGAUAUUCAUAGAUAACUUUAUAUGUCUCAGAUAUAUAUUCGUUUUUGAUAACGUACAGAGAACAGAUUGGAAUAUAUAAGAUUAUAUGUGCACUUUUUUUAAUGUAUUACCGAACAUAAGGCAAGAAAGCAGAUUGUGGCAUAAAUUUAUAUGUGCACUUUUUCAACAUGCAAGGAACAUAUUUGGCAUGGCACAAAGUUCAGAUAUACACCUAUAAUAUUAUAUGUGCUUGUGUUGGCAAAAAAUAAGUUCUAGAUAUCUCAAUAGAUAAUAGGGGUGUGCACGGGUCAGCCCGGGUUGGGUUUGGCCUAGACCCGCCACCCGACCCUAGCAGAUCGGGCUGGAAAACUCGUACCCAUUGGCCGCCGAUUACAGGGAUAAACUCGACCGAUCCAACAUCAUCAGAAGUCGGUCGGGUGUCGGUUUCGACCGGAAAAAAAAAAAUCUGAGAAAGCAAAGGAAACAAAUAAAGAGGAUGAUGACUUCCGGCGUCGAUCUCUUCCAUCUCACUGAUUGUGGAAGCUCGGUGAGAUAUGAGAGAGAGGGAGUCUGAAUUUGAGAGAGUCAUGUUUUUUGGCUGUCGAUUAUUGUCGUCAUAGGAUAGCAAUUGCAGAGGAGAAGAAAAAAAAUUGCAAACAAGAAAGAGUGAUGAGAGAUAUGGAGUCGUCUGCCCUUGUACUUCGUUUCAAAAUCGAAAAUGCAGAGAGAGAGAAAGAGAGAGAGAGAGAG